RNAcentral lists this ribosomal RNA (264 nucleotides) under uncultured archaeon. RNAcentral's name for it is "partial 16S ribosomal RNA". It matches the Rfam family "Archaeal small subunit ribosomal RNA", at positions 719 to 982 of the family's 1478-position model. The record is from RNAcentral.
AGUCACUGACAUUAGAUACCCGGGUAGUCCAGGGUGUAAACGCUGUAGACUUGGUGUUGGAAGCCCUUUGGGGGCAUUCAGUGCCGGAGAGAAGUUGUUAAGUCUGCUACUUGGGGAGUACGUCCGCAAGGAUGAAACUUAAAGGAAUUGGCGGGGGAGCACCGCAACGGGAGGAGCGUGCGGUUUAAUUGGAUUCAACACCGUAAACUCACCAGGGAAGACUGUUACAUGAAGGCCGAGAUGAAGACUCUGCCAGAUUUUCAG